RNAcentral lists this signal recognition particle RNA (99 nucleotides) under Enterococcus alishanensis. RNAcentral's name for it is "Enterococcus sp. ALS3 signal recognition particle sRNA small type". It matches the Rfam family "Bacterial small signal recognition particle RNA". From Rfam's summary of the family: The signal recognition particle (SRP) is a universally conserved ribonucleoprotein involved in the co-translational targeting of proteins to membranes. Archaeal SRP consists of a 7S RNA and homologues of the eukaryotic SRP19 and SRP54 proteins. In most bacteria, the SRP consists of a 4.5S RNA and the Ffh protein (a homologue of the eukaryotic SRP54 protein). Lineage: Bacteria; Bacillati; Bacillota; Bacilli; Lactobacillales; Enterococcaceae. The record is from RNAcentral.
CCGAAAGGCUAGGGCAAUGGCAGGCUUGUGAAUUGUGUCAGAUCCGGAAGGAAGCAGCACUAAGCAGGAUCUGCUAUGUGCCUGAUUAUAUUGUUGAUU